AUGACUGCAAUGUUGACAUUUAUAUUUAUAUUACUGACUGUAACUGGAGGAAACAUGGCCACAGAUGUCAUCACACCAUACAGAGAUGCAGUAUUUGUCAGUGAAUCUGAGAGUGUGACACUGUCUUGUAACUACACUGGAUCUGUUGAUAGUCUUCACUGGUAUCGACAAUAUUCAGCUUCACCACCAGAAACUUAUGGAUCAAUAAGGGAAGCUUAUCCUCCAGUUUCAGGAAUCUCUAUCAAACACAGAAAAGCUGACAACAGUGUGGAUCUGAAGAUCUCAUCUGUUAAAGUCACAGACUCUGCUAUGUAUUAUUGUGCACUGAUGCCCACAGUGACAGGAAACACAAAUACACUUUACAAAAACCUCACUGACUGA
Molecule: non-coding RNA, 381 nt
Organism: Misgurnus anguillicaudatus (oriental weatherfish)
Lineage: Eukaryota; Metazoa; Chordata; Actinopteri; Cypriniformes; Cobitidae
Source: the annotation of a RefSeq genome assembly